This 2533-nucleotide long non-coding RNA is filed under the name Mus musculus (house mouse). RNAcentral's name for it is "long non-coding RNA chr16:20153013-20155546". Lineage: Eukaryota; Metazoa; Chordata; Mammalia; Rodentia; Muridae. The record is from RNAcentral.
AAUGAUAAAUUGAGAACACUAAAUUUAUGGGAGGGAAAAUAUAUUAUUUGUUGAGGUUUAUUUAAAAAAAAAAAAAAUUCCGAUGUUGGGCAUGGUGGCAUACACCUUUAAUCUCAGCAUUCCAGAGGCCCAGACAGAUGGAACUCUAUGGGUUCCAAGAUAUCUUGGUCUUUACAGUGAGUUUCAGCCAAGGCUACAGAAUGAGACUGUCUCAAAACAAAAUCAAAAAAUUAUCCUGCUAAGGGAUGGGCACAUCUAUAAUCCCAGGACUUGGGAGUAGAGACAAGAGAACCAGACAUUUAAGGUCAUCCUCAGCUACUUAGUAUAUUUGAAACCUGCCUGGAGCACAUGAAUCUUUGUCUCAAAAAACCCAAAAUAAAUAAAGUUGGAGAAAAGAUAAAAAGUUCUACUUGAACUUCCAUCCCCAGAUAUAAAUAAUCCUUUUUGGUAUUGUUCUCAGUAUACUAUAGUUAUUACUUAAUUAAUAAAUAUGCUCACAUGCUAUAUUUUGUUUUUUUUUUUGUUUUAUUUGUAGGUUUUUUGUUGUUGUUUUUUAGAUUUAUUUAUUAUGUAUAGUGUUCUUCUGCCUAUAUAUAGGCAAGAAGAGGGCACCAGAUCACAUUAGAGAUGGUUGUGAGCCACCAUGUGGUUGCUAGGAAUUGAACUCAGGACCUCUGGAAGAGCAGCCAGCAUUCUUAACCUCCAAGCCAUCUCUCUAGCCCCUGGUAUUGUUCUUUUGAGACAAGGUUUCUCUGUGCAGUCCUGGCUGUCCUGGAACUCAGUCUAUAGAUAUGGCUGGUCUCGAGCUGGGAUCAAAGGCUUGCAUCACAAGGCCUGGCAUAUUUGAAAUUUUUAAGACUUUACUGAUCAGGGAAGCACACACUCUUGCCUCUAUCCCCAGUCUGCUCUGGGGUAAAAGCGUAGACUCCAGGGCUUUGUUUAUACACAUGAAGUACAUCUCCAGCUUGUAUCUUUGCCAGUUUAAUUAGGUGAGAAGGAUUUAUUUGUUGAAGCAAUUCAAGAAGCUGAGUUCUUGCUUUUGUUGUAUGUGUUUAUUCUGUGGAUUUUAAGUCAUUGUUGUUAUUUGCCUAUUAAACAACAUUUAAACUCUCACUUGUUUUAGCGACUGAUUGAAGCCAGGAGGAUGAUGGAUAAGCUCCGGGCCUGCAUUGUAGCAAACUAUUAUGCCUCCGCUGGUCUCCUGAAGGUUUCUGAGGUUAGUGCUCCUAUAGUCUGUUUUCAGCCACCGUUUUCCUUGUCUGAGGGGAAGUCAGGGCUGUGUGGAUUCCCUGCCAUUCAGACAUUUCUUAUAUUGCCUUUAGCAUUUGAUAAGCCUGGCCACCUUUCUGAAGAACAUAGAUCGUCAGGCAAUGUGUUUAACAUGGUGUUGUCCUUUCUGUACUGAUUGCUAGUGUAAUACUAGCAGGGAGACCUUACUGCAACUCCUCCUAGUUCUUCCUCUUUUGCUUUGCCUUACUGAGCAUGCCUUGUGCUUUUAAAUGCUACUUCUUAAUGGUAGUUUUAAGUAUAAGAAAAAGACAAACAUGUUUUGCAUACUAUGUAGAUUCAUCUGUUUAAAAUUCUGUUGUUUUCUUUCCUCUAAAGCAUUUAAAAUUAGGUUUUUAGAUAUCAUAACAUUUCAGCGCUCACUGUAAAACGUUUUUACUCCUUUUUCUCUUUUUCCUGGCAACCGUGUAUUAACCCAGAGUGCCAGUGAAAGACACACAUACACAAUGCCUGUAAAAACACAAAACCAGAGACUAUAAAAUAUAAGCAAAUAAUCAGUAAGAUAAAACAAAACAAACAAAAAGUCAAUAAGGCAUUAUCCAUCCUGUGGGUGUCUUCCCAGGAUUUCUUUGUAUGUAAGGUUCCUUUAAGAAUAUUAGUCCUGGUUGAGGGCUGACCUCAGUCUAGUAUGACUUCAUUUUAAAUUGACUACAUUCUACAAAGACCCCUCUUUUUCUCCUCCUAUUCUCUCUGUGUUUGCUUGUGCCUGUCCUUGUCCCGAGGCUCUCCCAUACGAUAGGUAUAUAAUGUACAAUUCAGUAACACCAACAACCCCUUAGGCUUGUUCUGAAUAAAGCCACAGAUUCUGGGUGGACAUGACUUUGUAGAAUUUGUACUUCCACCCUUCUGGCAUCGUUGAUGGAAUAGCUCAGUGUUGGCUCAGCACAGUGGAUAUCAUGAGCUGAGUUUGCGUGAUGUAAAGGAGACUGUAAGCAGGUACUCACCUUGAAAAGCUGGUGUUGUGUUGACUUAUCACUGGAGUACAUUUCGUUAGGAUGCCUAGAAAUAAACUGAUUUUAGCUCCUGGUGUUCUGAUUAAGAUUUACUAGGGGCUGGAGAUAUGGCUCAGUCAUUGGGUUUACUUGAGUUCAGUUCCCAGUGUCUACAUGGAGGAUUGCAACUCUAACUUUACUUUCAGGGGAUCCAACACCCUCUUCUGUCUUCUGUAGGUAUCAGAUAUUCGCAUGUUGCACAUUUGUGCAUGCAAGUAAAACACUUAUACAGAUAAAAUACAUCUUUAAAAAUU